AAAGAGACAGAACAAUGUUAUAGGUGAAUGCAUGGACAAUGACCUCAAACAGCUAAGAUUCAAACCCCUGCGUUGAAUGAUUGAAUUGAAAUGAUUCAAUGAGCUAAUGUACAUAAAGCAUCCAGAAUGUUGCCUGGCACAAAGACUGUAUUGUCUGCUAGACCAUUUAUUCAAAGUGGGAGGAUGAUGUUCUAAAAGCCAAUGAUAAAGCUCAUGGCAACGCAGGGUAUAUCUGAUGGCAUGGAAUGCUUUAGGAUGGCCAAGAUUGCCCAUCAAGUGCCAAGUCACCGAAGUUGUUAAUGGCUCUCCUACUAGGAGCCUGACAUCAUGGUGAGCAUCGAGAAAGGAAUAACCUAAGCUGAAGACACGCCUUUUCUUCAGGAGGCCAAGUUCCACGUUCUGUGCAUGCUUUUGGCGAAAGUCAGGUAAAGCCUCCAGAAAUGCAUGGUCUAUUCUCUCGGACCAUAUGGCUGUGGGCAAACUCUGGCUUCUUGGAGCCUCCAUUAGCCACCCAGGGAAAGGUAAUUGGCUUUAUGUUUGGCUCCAUCACUGCUGGCGACAACCUCCACUGCAUUCUCAAGCAGUAGAUGAAAUACAACUGUGCUCCUGAAUGCAGCAAAGGAAAGAGAACCCAACUGGACCAGUGUGAAAUUGGGACCUUUGGAGGCAAGAAUGCACAUAUUUGUAAAUGAAUAAACAUAAUUUUUCUCUCUUCUUCCCAUUGGCAGCAUAUCUGAAGGCCCUGACUCAACAGUAGUGGGUCUUAAUGCUUGUGCUUGUCCACCCUUCUCGGCAGUGAUUGAUUUCAUUGUUGGCUUGUUUUCAUGACUUGAAUGUGGGAUCUUCAGAGGGCCUAAUUCCUUGCAAGUUCCAUUUGAGGGUGGAAGAGCUAGAACAAGCUAUAACCAGUAGACAACUCUGUGACUCAGAAGCUUAAGCAUUUGACUAAUUAGUAAGAAAAAAUGUGGUGAAGAUUUGUAGUUAAUAAGAAGGAAAGAAGAAUCACGGGGGCUAGAAUUAUGCAAGCUUUUGUUUCCUUUUGGGACUAUAUCAGAACUAUGAGAGAAGAAAGGCUACCUUUUACCUUUGAGGAAUUAUCAAAGCCUUUUUUUUUUUUUUUUUUGGUUUGUUUGUGACUGACAAAGGGCACAAUUUCAACACCUCAGAAAAAUGCCUCAUCAUUUCCUCUUGUGAAAUCUGGGUGCUUCUGAAUGAAUCCAUGUUAGGAAUGUGUACUUCCAUCCAUUAAAGUCAAUGUCCAGUCUCAUUUUGGGCCAGAGGCUGUUACUAAGUUGUAGUACUGGUGAGAAAAGGACAGAGCAUUUACCUUCCCUGGGUAUCCUGUGACCUCCAUGUGUCCUUGCAAGGCAGGGAAAUGUUACCAAUUAAGAGCAUAGCCUUUCAUCAGAUGGGUUCAGAUCCUAACACAUCCUCUUUCUGGUUACAGGACAGUCCUCUCUGAACCUCAGUUUUCUCGUCUCUAAGAUGAGGCUAAUUAUACCUACUUCCCAGUGGGGGUACUAAGGAUAAAGUAACAACACAAGAAAAUUUUUUAUCCUUGAUUUUCUUAGCUGGAAAAUUAGGCUAGAAAGACCUCCAUCCUUGGGGUAUUUAAAAUAAAAGGACAAAUAUAUGAUGAGUCUAA
This 1645-nucleotide long non-coding RNA is filed under the name Pan troglodytes (chimpanzee). RNAcentral's name for it is "lincRNA". Lineage: Eukaryota; Metazoa; Chordata; Mammalia; Primates; Hominidae. The record is from RNAcentral.